RNAcentral lists this ribosomal RNA (741 nucleotides) under uncultured bacterium. RNAcentral describes it as "bacterial SSU rRNA". It matches the Rfam family "Bacterial small subunit ribosomal RNA", at positions 8 to 796 of the family's 1533-position model. The record is from RNAcentral.
AGAGUUUGAUCAUGGCUCAGAACGAACGCUGGCGGCAGGCUUAACACAUGCAAGUCGAGCGCUGUAGUAAUACAGAGCGGCGCACGGGAGAGUAAUACACGGGAACCUACCUUUUGGUUCGGAAUAACGUCGGGAAACUGACGCUAAUACCGGAUACGUCCUUCGGGAGAAAGAUUUAUCGCCGAUAGAUGGGCCCAUGUUGGAUUAGCUAGUUGGUGAGGUAACGGCUCACCAAGGCUGCGAUCCAUAGCUGGUCUGAGAGGAUGAUCAGCCUCACUGGGACUGAGACACGGCCCAGACUCCUACGGGAGGCAGCAGUGGGGAAUAUUGGACAAUGGGGGCAACCCUGAUCCAGCCAUGCCGCGUGAGUGAUGAAGGCUUCGGGUUGUAAAGCUCUUUUGGCGGGGACGAUGAUGACGGUACCCGCAGAAUAAGCUCCGGCUAACUUCGUGCCAGCAGCCGCGGUAAUACGAAGGGAGCUAGCGUUGUUCGGAAUUACUGGGCGUAAAGGGCGCGUAGGCGGCUUGGCAAGUUGGGUGUGAAAGCCCAGGGCUCAACCCUGGAAUUGCACUCAAGACUGCUUUGCUUGAAUUCGGUAGAGGUUGGUGGAAUUCCCAGUGUAGAGGUGAAAUUCGUAGAGAUUGGGAAGAACACCCGUGGCGAAGGCGGCCAACUGGACCGACAUUGACGCUGAGGCGCGAAAGCGUGGGGAUCAAACAGGAUUAGAUACCCCAGUAGUCC